UACGUAGGUGGCAAGCGUUGUCCGGAUUUAUUGGGCGUAAAGAGCGCGCAGGCGGUCGUGUAAGUCCCGUGUGAAAGCCCCCGGCUCAACUGGGGAGGGUCACGCGAUACUGCUCGACUUGAAGGCAGGAGAGGGAAGUGGAAUUCCCGGUGUAGUGGUGAAAUGCGUAGAUAUCGGGAGGAACACCAGUGGCGAAGGCGACUUCCUGGCCUGUUCUUGACGCUGAGGCGCGAAAGCUAGGGUAGCAAACGGG
This 253-nucleotide ribosomal RNA is filed under the name uncultured bacterium. RNAcentral's name for it is "partial 16S ribosomal RNA". It matches the Rfam family "Bacterial small subunit ribosomal RNA", at positions 524 to 776 of the family's 1533-position model. The record is from RNAcentral.